CAAUUAGCGUCUUGCAUUUAAUGGAGCAUCUCUGGCUGUGAAAUAGCUUUUAUGUCAAGGCUGUGGUUUUCAAUAUCCCUGUGAAAAUACACCUGUCUCUAGCUGAAUUAUCAAGAAAUGGAAAACUCAGAUUGCUUUUCUCCAAUCUUGUGCCCCAGGGCUGGCAGAAAAGAGGCAGCAUGACUAGAUAGAAACAGAGCCAGGCUACAGUAUGCGGCCAAGGCAAAUAGCUAAGGCCAAUAAGACAGCUGGGUACUCCAGCUGGAUGCAAACAGCUAGACUUUGGAGUCCAUUUAUAUGGGGACUAUGAGAGGUUGUGAAAAACGAGGCAGACAGCUGGGAAGGGAAAGUAAUGUAAGAAGCCUGGAACUUGUGAGGCAGAGUUGAGAAGGGGAAACAUUCUGACAUAUUGGCCGACACUCUUAAAAUCCAUAUAAAUGCAAAAAUUAUGGUCUUUCCAAAGAUAAGGUGGCAUUGGUAGGUCACCGUAGUGAUGUUAAACCUUGAAGAAGACUCUGCUUUCAAAGAAAUUAAGUAUUUUUAUUUAUCUGUAGAUUGAAAGCCACCCAUAUCUUCUUCAAGUGGAGCUGAUUCCAUUUUGCCAGUCCAAAGGGAUCUUUGUCACUGUGUACCAUCCAUUUGGAGCACCCAACUGGCCAUGGUCCGAGCCUGAGGAUGUUUCCCUUUUUGAUGACCCCCAAGUUAAGGAAAUUGCACUCAUGCACAGCAAAAUCGCAGCUCGGGCUAACACAGAUCUUGGUACUUAUCUGGCUCCAGAUUCAAAGAAACAUGAGUCUAAUUCCCAGAUCUAUCACUCCACAUUGCACGAAGGAAAAUAUUAAGGUAACCUUACAAAAUUUAACUCUUACACAGAGAAAUCCACUCUGGAGUAGAACAAAAUACUCCCUUCACAUCUAGAAUAUGGAAAAACUUUUGUCAGGUAUCACGUAGGUUACUUCCUUAUGAAUGCUAGAUGUUACUUAAAAGAGGGCCUGAGACUCCUUCAUUAAAACAGAUAAAGGCAGAGACAUUACUUUUUGCGCCUAGUGAUACAAAAUGAUGCAAUUUGGUUCCCACCAGCACUGUAAUUUGAUGACAUUUUUCAUUGUUCACCAAAAGCAUGCAUCCAUUGCGUGCUUUCUAGUGUUUGAACAAACACAACACUUUUCUACUUCUGUAUUUAAUAUUCUUCCUGCCAAUCUACUUACACUUGCCUUUUUGCAAAUUGCAAAUCAGCUGUUUGGGACCUUCAUCCAGGGUUUUGACCUUGAAUUGGAUGAAGAGGAGAUGGAAACCUUCCUCAGUUUCAAGAAGAAAUACUGAAUCCGUGCAUUAAGCGAGCGAAUACCUCUUUCACCAUCUUCUUCUCUACUUUUAGACAGGACUAGAUUAUCACUCAAGUAUCUUCUCAACAGACAUCCAUCAAUAGCCUCACUUUAAAAAAAAAAAAAGGGAAUCUUAGCCAAUACCUGAUCACAUCUGUAUCUUCUGGAAUCCAGCAAGCACCAGGGUUUGUUAGAGCACUGUCCACCUCAUACAGGUUAGUAGCACUGGGAUUUGUGUGCAGUUAAUGUAUGCUGAGGCACCUUGCGAUGGAUUUCAGGCUGUUGUCUGAAAAUCAAAAUGGGCUGGAAACGCCAAAAUAAAUAAUUUUAAAUUAUUUUUCUGUUUCCUUUAGCUGCUUUACAUUACAGACAGUAACUGUAAAUAAAAUCCACUUUAAGAAUGAGCUUCAAUUUUUUUUUAAGUGAAAAGCUGUGCCUGUGCAGUUUCCUUAGCAUUAAGAGAAAGAAUAUCCAUUUAAAUGUUUUAAUCAUAUUCUCUUUUGCUAGAUGCAAAAAUCACAAGGAUUAUCAUCAUUUUUUUUUUUUUUUUUUGGAAGACAAACAUGGGCAUUAUCUUCAGGUCCUCCAGGGAUCAGAAGAACUGCGCUUCAUUGUUCAAGUGAUUUGUAACACCUCAUGCAUAACAAAUCACAGCAUUAAGUCCAACAUGUAUUGCACAAGAUGGAAGAACAUAGUUGAUGGGAAUACUGAAGAGUAAGCUUUGAGCAAACACAGGUUUGUUUCUUUUAUUAUCAACUACAAAGAUUCUGAUCUUUUGCCUGUGUCUUUUUAUUGACCUUGUAAAUAUUCUUAGUUGUAAGAAAAUAUGUUAACAGGUUACCCAGAGAGGUGGUGGAUGCCCCAUCCAUGGAGACACCCAAGGUCAGGCUGAACAGUGCUCUGAGCACCUGAUUUACCUGUGUGUGUUCCUGUUCACUGCAGGGGAGUUAGACCAGAUGGCUUCUAAGGGGCCCUUCCAACUCUAAGGGUUCUAUGUACUGUGUUAGUGUUUAGUAAUGAUAGUUAAAUAAAUUGAAUAACCCAGAAUCCAUGGGACAGACAAAAAUAAUUUGCAAUAAAUAUAAAUCAUCACAAGUUUUAGAGAAAUUUAGAGAUUCUCCUGGUGUCAGUAUUUUCAGACAACAGGUUAAAACACUUUUAGUUGUUAAUAUAAGACAAGCCAUUCAACAUCAGAAGGCCUUUAUGAGGUAGAACAAAAUGCUGUUUCAGAUUCUCACCAAGUACAGAGCUGUGUGAUUGAUUGAAAACACCUCAGAGGACACUGCUGACUUGUGUUUCUGGAGCAGCUUUCUUAAUGAAGUUUCCUAUUUAUGAACUGCUAAACACUAACAAACUGGUAGGAGAUUUGUAUGUUUGGAUUUAUCAUAUCUACAGAAGUAGAUAAAUACUGCCUUUAUCAGUAGAAUGGCUGCAGUUAAGGCUGCAAACUUCUUCCAGCAAAACCAAAGUCUGAUAAAGGAAACAGAAGAAUUAUUUUAUUUGGCAGAAAAGUCAGGCAGAUUUCUAGAAGCCAAGAGUACAUUUUCACUCUUACACCACUUGCUGGAUAGUAGUCCCUUUCUGUUCUAAUCCAAAGGUUGUUACUGAAUGUUGUUUUCCAUAGGGAAAAAGAGUUGCUUCAGCCUAUGCACCUGCUCAAAAUUUAAUGAAGUGUUUGUUAAUUGAGACUUCUUGCUCUUGACUUCUAACACACAAAACUCCUGUAGCCCCUUUGGGUUCUUCCAGUCCAGGAGAAGAACAAUGUGGAUGAGCAGUACUGCCCACAGAGUGGAAGGAUGAUUAUGCGAUUAAGGUUCAGGGCUAGGAUACAGAUUUCAUGGAUAUUCUUUGGCAACUGAUUUUCUCUGAACCUGAGGUUUUUAAGCCUUUAAGGGGAAUGAUGACACAUCUUUGAGGCUACUUUAGUCUUCUGUAGGAUAUUUUAAUAACAGGUACCCUAGAACCAGGAAAGGAAUGGUAUCAAAUUGGAUUUCAUACAGCAACUCUUCUAAAGAAUGCAUUUCAGACCCAUACCACAUGGUCAUAAUGCAGUGGUAUGGAAGGUGCCUGCAACAGGUAGUCUUUUUCCCUGCCUCUCUAAUAGGUUAAGUUGAAAAGGUCAGGUUACAGUCUGUCAUUGUAAUCACAGUUGGAAAACAAGCCACGUGGAAGAUGUUGCACUUCCAGGCACUCAGACCGCAGCCUGGUUCUAUCAAAAAGAUCCCAAGCAGAUCUGGAGCUGUUCUGAAGCAUCAGGAGCAAUAGUCACUCAGUGCUGCAGCAUACAGCCUAUCCUGCUUCACAGGAAUUUUCGAGGAACAUUCCAAUUUAAUCAGAGUUAAAGUUAUUUACAGGAUGUUUAUGGACUCUGGUAGGCAGGAAGCCAGACUAGAUGAUCACAGCAGCUGCAUAAUAGUAAAAUAAAAAAGUCCAAAACAAGCUAGAAGCCAGAAAUUGUUCAUUUGUUGUACAGACAAUAGAUAAUUUCUUUUCCAACUGCAGAGAGCUUACCAGAGAUAAAAAGAGUGGGUGAUAUUAGUCACAAGGAAUAAAGUAUCUUCAAUUCUGCAGCAGCACUGCAGCCAUAUGAUUUAAUGACAGCACAUCCUUCUGGCAGAAGAGUACUGCCUUGCAGCUGUCUACAAGAGCCUGCUAUAAGCUGCUCUGAAAGUAUACUUCCAUAGCUUUAGCAAAAAAAGUUUUAUUUGUUGUAAGGGGGGCAUCCUGCACAGAGGUACUUCCACCUACUGACAAGUGCUAGGAACCAUUAAAUCACCAUCUUCAGAUUCUUCUGAAGUCUGUGUUGACAAGUGAGUGUGCACUGGCGGGCAUUUAACCCACUCCUCUUUUUAAGAGAGAACUGCAAUUAAAGUGCAUGCUGCUAUUUAGAUACAUGCAGCAGCAUUCAUCUCUACCCUCAUCCCACUGACCUAUGGAACAUCUGUCCAUUAUUAGUCCCUAGGCUGUACAGAUACAUAGCAUGAGAAGCAGAUACUUGAGAUGCCACAGUUCUAGCACCUCAUAGACCUGAAAAUAUCAAGGCCAUCUCUUCAAGGCAAGAGACAAGUCAAGCUACCACAGCGUGCUUCAGGAAAAGAAAAUGAGCACUCUCACAGCACAAAACACAGCUAAACUCCUUAGAGCCCAUUUAUGCAAGUUUUUCAAAGGGCCAGCAGAUUCCCUUCCUGUGCGCCAGUUUCCUCAGCAGCAUCAUCACCAGCUUUCUUUUGGAACUACAGCAGAAGUCUUUGAUUACCCCCAAAUCCUUUUUAAUCUCCCUCAGCAAUGCCACAGUGUGCCUAGGGCAAUCCUGCAGCUGCAUCUUUCCUAGUCAGCAGUGAGAUUAUCCACAUCACUGGACUGAACAUUGUAAAUAGAAAAUACCUUAGCUUAACAUUUUGCCUUUCUAUCACAAUACGCUGUCCCAUGACUUGAGCUUUUAUUGUGCAGCCCAUCCAUUCUGGUAUAGUUAGCCCUUGAUUAAAAGAUUCAAAAGGGGCUGCGUGAAAACAGUGUUAUUCCCAUGUUUCAAAGGGAAAACAUGGUAACAUAGAUAACAAACAAAUAGUAAAACUCAGAACACUUUGCCAGUUAUUGCUUCUCUGUUUUCCACCUACUAUCCAACUACUGUAAUUCCAAACAUUCCCACAUGAGACUCCAUAUCAUUCAAAAGCAAACAAUGAAAAACAAAAACAGCACAACAGAUCUAUUCUACUACAUGAACUUUUUGCAUUUAAUCCUGCACAGAAAGUUCAUAGAACCUUCUAUCAUGAGAAGAGGAACAGAGAGCCAACUAAUAUGAUCCAUGGCAUGGAAUAAUUCAUAUAAGCUGUAAUUAAGAAGGCUAAGGCCCUCCUUGACCAGACACCAGUGCAAGGAGCUAUGCCAGAAUUUUACCAAGUCCAGAACAGUUCGGAAAGCAUGAAAGAUUUUAGAGUUACUUUUCAGCCUAAAUGAGCAAGGCCCAACCAGAUAAGGCCCAGCUCUGAACUUUUUAAGUGACCAAGGACAAGUUCGGGUAUGUGUCUAGUACAUGAUAAAACACUACUGAUGGAGUUUACAGAUGAUAACCUAUAGGAUGAAGUGAUUAAAGUUUGUCUUAAGUCAGCUGUUCUGUGUCUAAAUCAAGCAGGAGUUCUGUAAUAGUAUUUUCAACAUAGUGAAUGCAGAUUACAGUCCAACGGAGGAUUUUCUUUUCCUGUGCCCCAGAUUCCACAAUCUGGCACAAGUAUUACAAUAUGUGCUUGUGUCAGACUCAAGAGCUCAACCAGAACGGUCCCCUCCCUCUUCCCCAGAGGUAAAGACAGUCCAAGUUAAAGAGCAAAGCAAUUCCAGCCAGCCAGCCUGUCUGCUUGCAUCCCAAUGUCAGAAGUCAAGCCAUUUUCACCCAAAGGAACAUUAAUGGCAAGCUGAAACAUAUAAUACCUGCAAAACUGCAGGUGGUGUCCUAUCUCCAACUAAUCUGAUAUUGACAGCUGCUUCUUGUGUUCUCUUCUGCUACACAAAAAUUCCUUGAAGAGGGACCUGUUUCCCACAUAAAGCAGUUCAAGGUUCUACACUGCUAUGGAAAUGCAUCUGUUCUCUCGGAUGCAUUUUCUUUUAACAUACAAAAAAAAAACUUCCUAAACUACUGUCACUUUAAGCAGUGAGGGCAGCUAAAAAAAAUAUAUAAAAUUUGAGUGCAAGCACUGACUUUAUAGGUCCUAGGACUGUGUUUGUCUCCAACUCUUAAUCUUUGCUGUGGGCUGGUCUCUAUCUCCCCUAGGGGUGCUGCAGUAUCACACUGGGGUAGCUGUUGCAGCAAUGUCCUGAGAAAGUCUGGU
This is a long non-coding RNA of Gallus gallus (chicken), 6148 nucleotides long. RefSeq lists it as uncharacterized. The transcript is spliced from 3 exons. The record is from RefSeq and is a predicted model, not a curated record. Lineage: Eukaryota; Metazoa; Chordata; Aves; Galliformes; Phasianidae.